GUUUAGGGGUAAACCUGAGAAACCCGAAAGGUCGAAGGAAGAAAUUCAUUCGUGUAUCGCUAUUGACAAGGCUGUGUAUAUUUGACAAUAAAUAAAUCAGGUCAUCUUUUUGGUGAUUUUCGAUUUAAAUGUUGCAAUGUAUGUGUCUUAGGUCCGAUAGUGAACGCGUGCAUUUUUCUUCUGGUAGGACGUUGCGAUCCGUUAGAAAAUUAUAUCGAUCUAUGGUUUGUGGUUAAAGUUCAUUGAUACAUAUUUAAAUAUGUUAAUAUUAAUGAUGUCACUAAAUCUGAUUGAUUUGUCUGACGGUAGAUAAGAGGUUAAAAGUCGCUAAAAUAUUAGCGUUAGAGGCGAGACAAAUAUAUAAAUUGUGUAAAAACAUUAUUAUUAUUUAUAGUGAUAAUGUUCUCGGUAAUCGAUAUUUAUAUCAAUUCCGAGCCGUUUAUGUGUUGUUAGUCGAGCAAAUCUCUGACAGACUUUAUUAUUAUAAAUAAAACCAAUCAGCAACGCUAUAGCUUUGGGUACUUUCAGGACCCGUCUUGAAACACGGACCAAGGAGUCUAGCAUUUACGCAAGCCAUUGGGAUAUAAAACCUAUAGGCAAAAUGAAAGUGAAAAUCAAUUCGUCAUGUAUGAAUUGAAGGGAAGAUGAACGAUAUAUGUUUAAUAAAUAUUGUUUCGCAUUCCCGGGGCGUUUAUAUUUCGUUUGUUUGUUUUACAUUCAAAUGAGAUUAUGCGCACCAAGAG
RNAcentral lists this ribosomal RNA (743 nucleotides) under Doliopygus sp. PlDol04. RNAcentral's name for it is "eukaryotic LSU rRNA". The record is from RNAcentral. Lineage: Eukaryota; Metazoa; Arthropoda; Insecta; Coleoptera; Curculionidae.